GAUGAACGCUGGCGGCGUGCCUAAUACAUGCAAGUCGAGCGAACGGACGAGAAGCUUGCUUUUCUGAUGUUAGCGGCGGACGGGUGAGUAACACGUGGAUAACCGACCUAUAAGACUGGGAUAACUUCGGGAAACCGGAGCUAAUACCGGAUAAUAUUUUGAACCGCAUGGUUCAAAAGUAAAAGACGGUCUUGCUGUCACUUAUUGAUGGAUCCGCGCUUCAUUAGCUAGUUGGUAAGGUCACGGCUUACCAAGGCAACGAUGCAUAGCCGCCAUCAGCGGGAGGUUGGUCACCCUGUAUGUGAGACACGGCACAGACUCCUGCGGGAGGCCGCAGUAGGGAAUCUUACGCGAGGGGGCAAUGCGUGACAGAGCAACGCCGCGUGAGUGAUGAUGGUGUUCGGCCCGGAAAACGCUGUUAGUAUGGAAGAACAUAUGUGUAAGUAACUGUGCACAUCUUGACGGUACCUAAUCAGAAAGCCACGGCUAACUACGUG
RNAcentral lists this ribosomal RNA (497 nucleotides) under uncultured bacterium. RNAcentral's name for it is "partial 16S ribosomal RNA". It matches the Rfam family "Bacterial small subunit ribosomal RNA", at positions 28 to 507 of the family's 1533-position model. The record is from RNAcentral.